Musa acuminata subsp. malaccensis (wild Malaysian banana) is the source of this 2520-nucleotide non-coding RNA. NCBI's taxonomy places the organism in Eukaryota, Viridiplantae, Streptophyta, Magnoliopsida, Zingiberales, Musaceae. The record is from RefSeq and is a predicted model, not a curated record.
UCAAAAUGUUUCGAACGACGCCGAAUCCCCUGGCCCUCUUCAGCUUCACCUCCAUGUCUUUCUCUGAGAUCAAGAACUAGGAAGGACGGAAAACCUAGCACUGGCGCUCAAGAAGAUUGAGUGAAACAAGAGCCAUUUUUAUCUCCAAAUCCCCCUCUCCUCCUUCCUUUUCUGCCCAUCGCAGUGGCGGCUCACGUCGCUCCAUCGCCUUCCCUUUGGCUGCACUCCGACCCACCCUCGGCCCUUAAAAAGCCAUAACCCUGAUCCCAUUUUACCCCCUCAUCCAACCGUCCCUCGACAUUUUCCUUCCAUGACCUCUCGGAUCGUCCAGGGCAAGCCUCCAGGCCCGCCUCGGAGCCCUUCCAAUAAGAAGGAGAAUUUGGACUAGGCGCCCCUCGACAAGCGGCAUAGGUUCGGGGUGAUGGGGAAGAUGGUGGGUCCCGCGACCGACCCACGAACGACGCGGUCAGUGCUGUCCUCCGUCAACGGCGGCCCCAAUUCCGGCGACCAGGCGGCUGCUGGCUCGGAUGGUGGGAGCGCCUCUGGGAUUGAGUUCAGUUCUAGGGAGGACGUGGAGAGGCUUCUGGCUGAGAAGAUGAAAGUCAAGACUAAGAAUGACUUUAAGGGGAAGAGUGAACAGAUGAUAGAAUACAUUAAGAAGUUCCGGAUUUGCAUUAGAUGGUAUAUGGAACUGGAAGAUGGCUACUUGGCAGAGCAGGGGAAGCUUCGAAAUAUGUUGGAAUCUGAAGAGAAAAGGCACAGAGAAAUUGAGUUUUAUCUUCUAGAGUCCCGGAUGAGGGCUGAAAUUGAUGAACUAGAUGCAACAAUAAGGGAGCUUCAAGACCAGAAUUCUUCCUUGCAGGAGAAUUUAGUGAAUGAAGAAACUGAGAAAUUGGUUGCUAUUAAAUCUUACGAAAAUGAAAGACAAACCAGGGUUGCAGUUGAGAAUUCUCAAGAUGCUCUGUCCUUGGACCUUCAAAGAGUUAACCAAGAGAAUAAACGUUUGAGCGACCAGUUGAAAUUGCUACAAGAAACUAAUAGGAGAUUACAGGAGUACAAUACCAGUUUGCAACAGUACAACAGUAAUCUUUAGAAUGAGGCCAACAAAAAUGGUGAAACAAUCUUGAGGUUGCAGAAGGAGAAAAGUGCCAUAAUGGAAAGCCUGACUAGUGCAAGGGAUCAUGCAAACUAACUCAAAAAUCAAUUGGACCCUUCUAAGUCUUCUCAGCAAGAGGCCAUGAAACAGAAAGAAGAAUUGAAAAAGGAAGUCAGUUGUCUUAGAAGUGAAUUACAACAAAUACGAGAUAGUCGUGAUAAUUUAUCAGUGCAAGUGCAGAGGUUGACCUCAGAGUUUGAUAACUAUACAGAACUAACUACAAAAUCAAUAAAAAAUUUGGAUAAAAUAACCAUAAAGACUAUUGCACUUGAGGAGACAUGUGCUUCCCAAAGAGAAAAAAUACAACUUUUGCAGCAUCAGCUUGCUGCUUCCAAUGAGAAGUUGAAGAGAGCUGAUUUAAUAACCAUCAAGACAAUGACAGAGUAUGAAAAGCAGAAAAACACUAUUAUUGAUUUGCAAGAUCGUCUUGCAGAGGCAGAGCUUCAAAUAAUUGAAGCAGAGAAAUUACGUAAAAAACUGCAUAAUACCAUACUGGAACUUACAGGAAAUAUUCAAGUAUUUUAUAGAGUUCGCCUGCUUUUACUUGAUACUGAUUCGGGUGGAACAGAUGAUGUUGUUUCAUAUCCGACAUCCCUUGAAUAUCUUGGGCGUGGCAUUGACUUGACACAUAAUGCCCAGAAAUAUUCCUUCACUUUUGAUAAAGUAUUCAAUGAAGCUUCACAAGAAGAUGUAUUUGUAGAAAUCUCACAGUUGGUUCAGAGUGCACUCGGUGGAUAUAAGGUGUGCAUAUUUGCAUAUGGACAAACUGGUUCCAGUAAAACUUAUACUAUGAUGGGCAAUACUGAGCAUGCUGAACAGAAAGGCCAUAUACCUCGGUCAUUAGAGCAAAUAUUCCAAACUAGUCAAUCAUUACAAUGCCAAGGCUGGAAAUAUAAAAUGCAGGUGUCCAUGCUGGAAAUAUAUAAUGAAACAAUUCAUGAUUUGUUAUCACCUGGUCACCCUAGCAGUUUGGAAGCAAGUGGUGGUCUUAGCAAGCAAUACAGAAUCAAGCAUGACACUUGUGGUAAUACGAUUGUAUUUGAUCUUACCAUCAUAGAUGUUUGCAGCAUCAAAGCAGUUUCAUUCCUCCUCCAGCAAGCUUCACAGAGUAGGUCUGUGGGUAUUGUAUCGAUGGGAGAUCGAAUCAAUAUCAUUUGGUUCGACAUUGGAUAUAUUGGUACGUAUAAAGUUUUGAAAAUUCUUUAAAAAAUUUCAGAAAUAAAAAGAAGUCAUCUUUGGAUCAAACUUGUACUAAUUUGUAUCGUCCGGUGGUACAUUCCCUAUGUUGGAUUUAUCCAACAAUACAAGCCUUGUAUUAAAUAUGUAUCACCUUGUUAGUGUAGUUAGUGUAUUGAAUCAGUAAA